Chelonia mydas (Green sea turtle) is the source of this 1538-nucleotide long non-coding RNA. RefSeq lists it as uncharacterized. The transcript is spliced from 2 exons. The record is from RefSeq and is a predicted model, not a curated record. Lineage: Eukaryota; Metazoa; Chordata; Testudines; Cheloniidae.
CACAGCCUUCCCUACCCUGCCCUCCAUACAGUUGCACAACCCCAAUGUGGCCCUCAGGCCAAAAAGUUUACCCAUCCCUGAUUUAGGACCUACUGCAUAUAUGUAAUAUAUACACAAGAGGUAGGAUUCUUUGACCUCAUCAACAACUGAGUAAGAGUUUUACAACUAUGGUUAAGCAUGGAUUAAAUGUAGUUGAGGCUUAACCUAGUUAUAAAACUAUGUUCCAGCCUAAAUCUCUCCCUGAGCUAUAACCUGGACUGUUAACUUGAUUAUAACAAGGUUUUGCUCCAUCCACAUUCAUUAACCUAGUUUGGCUGAAACAGAGUUUAAAUUGCUUAAUCACCAUUGUAAAACCAGCAUCUUUUGCCUAGAAAGACAGGACCUUGGAAACUACUUGUGAAUAUUAUAAAAGCCCGAUAGUGUAGGUCUCAGAUGCAAAGCAGUUACUCUGUGAAUCAGAUUCAGAUAUCAGACAAUUCACAGCUAGAGAGUAAGUUAAAAUCAGUUUAUACUCUGACGCAACACAGGGUGCUUAUUUUGAAAAUAUUAAUAAAUUAAACUGACCUGAUCUUCCUUGAGGAAUUUCUCAACCUCAGCGUAUCUUGUUGUAUAUUUGUGUUUAACAACAAGUUCACACCACCGAUGUCGAACCUUUGGAAAAGGAAAAUAAAUAUUAAACAUGCAUACUGUGUCGGUGUAAAUACGCACUUGAUACAAUGUCACUCAACUACAAUUUUUUAAAGUGUUUUAGAGGAAUGGCAGUUUGUGAAACAUUUUCAAGUACUUCAGUAGGCCUUGCUAAUCUUGCUUAAAAUCUACGUGCCCCUAAAUAUGGACACAAAUGAAGUUCCUAUUUUAAGGGCAGAUGCUGUUUAGAGCGUUGAGUCAUGUGCCUCUAUAAAGCAUUAGAUCAUUAAUACUCAUCUGACACACUAAAAAUAAAAUGUGCAUCUCUAGUAGGAUUUUUGGACCCCAACAUAUCUGGAAAAACAAGCACCUGUAACUCUCAAACCAAUCCCAAUCCCAGUUUAAACCCGCUGAAUCAGUGAGAGUUUGUUAUUUUCAAAAUGAUAACUAUUAUUCUACAAAACUACUUUUAAAAAGUUACACUUAGCAUUAGAAUAAAUAAAUCCUUUUUUCCUUUUCUUUUCUAGUUUUACAAAAGAGGAAAUUAUUGCUUCAAAGCUCUGGAAGCAGACAUAAGAUACAAUUGCAUUAUUUCCUUUAGGCAAGUGUCUAACCUAGGGGCAUGAGGCUAAAACACAGUUUUGUGCAAAUUGUAUCUGGGGGACAAGUGCUGCAUCUGUCCUGGGAUGAAAAGGAUCAAAGUGAUUCUGCAGUUGGAGAAUACUAUGUGCCCCACAGUUUGUCAUUAAGAAGUACAAGCAGGGAAACUACCUAGCAGUUUCAGUCAUCGUGUAGUUUGGACAAAAGACCUCGGACUCUACACAGUGCUGGUAAUUAUUAUUCUGAAUCAUAACACUCCCACUGAAGACACUUCAGGGCCAAAUACAUCUCAGCAGCAAGAUAGGCUUUAA